GAUUCUCUGUGCAAGUGGAAG
RNAcentral lists this microRNA (21 nucleotides) under Arabidopsis lyrata. Its description in RNAcentral is "aly-miR173b-3p". Its record names the gene aly-miR173a-3p. The record is from miRBase by way of RNAcentral. Lineage: Eukaryota; Viridiplantae; Streptophyta; Magnoliopsida; Brassicales; Brassicaceae.